GUGCUCCCUUUAGCAAAACAUACACUAAAAUUGGGACGAUACAGAGAUUAGCAUGACCCCUGUGCAAGGAUUACACACAAAUUUGUGAAGUGUUCAUGUUUUUA
This 104-nucleotide small nuclear RNA is filed under the name Sorex araneus (European shrew). Lineage: Eukaryota; Metazoa; Chordata; Mammalia; Eulipotyphla; Soricidae. The record is from RNAcentral.